CCUACGGGAGGCAGCAGUAGGGAAUUUUCGGCAAUGGGGGGAACCCUGACCGAGCAACGCCGCGUGAACGAAGAAGUUAUUCGUAAUGUAAAGUUCUUUUAACAGGGAAGAAAGAGAAAUUUGACGGUACCUGAAGAAUAAGCUCCGGCUAACUACGUGCCAGCAGCCGCGGUAAUACGUAGGUGGCAAGCGUUGUCCGGAUUUACUGGGUGUAAAGGGCGUGUAGCCGGGAAGGCAAGUCAGAUGUGAAAUCCGGAGGCUCAACCUCCGAAUUGCAUUUGAAACUGUUUUUCUUGAGUACUGGAGAGGCAGACGGAAUUCCUUGUGUAGCGGUGAAAUGCGUAGAGAUAAGGAGGAACACCAGUGGCGAAGGCGGUCUGCUGGACAGCAACUGACGGUGAGGCGCGAAAGCGUGGGGAGCAAACAGGAUUAGAUACCCCAGUAGUC
Molecule: ribosomal RNA, 447 nt
Filed under: uncultured bacterium
Lineage: Bacteria
Description: partial 16S ribosomal RNA
Rfam family: Bacterial small subunit ribosomal RNA
Source: RNAcentral